CCUACGGGUGGCAGCAGUCGAGAAUCAUUCACAAUGGGGGAAACCCUGAUGGUGCGACGCCGCGUGGGGGAAUGAAGGUCUUCGGAUUGUAAACCCCUGUCAUGUGGGAGCAAAUCAAAAAGAUAGUACCACAAGAGGAAGAGACGGCUAACUCUGUGCCAGCAGCCGCGGUAAUACAGGGGUCUCAAGCGGUGUUCGGAAUCACUGGGCGUAAAGCGUGCGUAGGCUGGUUCGUAAAGCGUGUGGGAAAGGCGCGGGGUCAAACCGCGGAGGGCAGAUGAUACGGCGAGACUGGAGUAAUGGAGAGGGAAGCGGAAUUCGCGGUGUAGCAGUGAAAUGCGUAGAUAUCGCGAGGAACGCUCGUUGCGAAGGCGGGUUCCUGGACAUUAACUGACGCUGAGGCACGAAGGCCAGGGGAGCGAAAGGGAUUAGAUACCCGAGUAGUC
Molecule: ribosomal RNA, 446 nt
Filed under: uncultured bacterium
Lineage: Bacteria
Description: partial 16S ribosomal RNA
Rfam family: Bacterial small subunit ribosomal RNA
Source: RNAcentral